CCCCAAGCGAUACACAACAUGAAAACACAAGGCAGCAAAAUGCCAGCUUCCUCAAUACCACUGUUGUACCGUUGCCUACUGCUUGUAUCAUGCCUUCUGCUCUUGGAAGAAGCAGAUGCGGCGCACCAUGGAGGGAUCUCACUGAGGUCGCAACACAUGGCCCUCCUCCACUGGAAAGCUACACUUGCGAGCCCACCACCGCAGAUGAGCUCUUGGCAGGAAAACACCAGCUCGUGCAACUGGACGGGCAUCAUGUGCACGGCUGUUCGCCAUGGCCGCCACAUGCCCUGGGUGGUCACCAACAUCUCCCUGCCAGAUGCUGGCAUCCGUGGCCAGCUUGGUGAGCUCAACUUCUCGGCUCUUCCAUUCCUUGAAUAUAUCAACCUUACUAACAAUAGUCUCCAUGGUGCACUGCCCUCUAGUAUCAGCUCCCUGUCAGCACUUUCAGUACUUGGCCUUCAAUACAACCAGCUCACAGGGAAAAUUCCCUAUGAGAUUGGUCACCUGCAAAGUCUCAGGCGGCUUGGCCUCGCAUAUAACAGACUCACAGGGCAUAUCCCUGUGUCUCUGGGUAAUCUAACAAUGUUAACUGAUCUUUUCAUUCACCAAACCAUGCUAUCAGGCCCCAUUCCCGAGGAGAUUGGAAGGCUUGUCAACCUACAAGUUCUACAGCUAAGCAACAGCACCUUAAGCGGCACGAUACCAAAAACCCUUGGAAAUCUGACCCAACUAAAUACUUUGUUUCUCUAUGGUAAUCAACUUUCAGGACCUAUACCCCAAGAACUAGGCAGGCUAGUACAUUUGCGAAGUCUUCAGCUUAGUAUAAAUGAUUUUUCAGGUCCAAUUCCAAUCUCGAUAACCAAUCUCACUAAGAUGAAUGAUCUUUUUCUCGGUGAAAAUCCACUCACAGGUUCAUUACCCUCAGAACUAGGCAAUCUCGCUAUGCUAAACCGACUUUAUGUCUACAAAAGUCAAAUAACCGGUUCAAUACCCCCAGAGUUGGGGAACCUCACCAUGCUCAAUUCCCUUGCUCUAUAUACAAAUCAAAUCACAGGUCCAAUACCAUUAGAAUUGGGUCUCUUGCAGAAUCUCCAGAGUUUACAACUAGAUGACAACCAAAUAUCUGGUUCUAUUCCUAGCAUCUUAGGAAAUAUGACUAAGCUAGUAGAGCUGACCCUAUCUGUAAAUCACAUAACCGGUUCCAUCCCCCAAGAAAUUGGCAAUCUAAUGAACCUCGAGUAUUUAGCCUUUUUUCAGAACCAAAUUUCGGGAUCAAUACCAAAAACUUUUGGGAAGUUGCAAAGCAUCAAAAUAAUGCAAGUCUUUGAUAACAAAUUAUCAGGUUCCCUUCCUCAAGAAUUUGGAGAUCUCAUCAAACUUGUGGAACUUGCACUUUCUAACAACUCACUUUCAGGACAUUUACCUGCAAAUAUAUGUUUAGGUGGCAGACUAAAAAAUGUCUAUGCCUCUUUUAAUAUGUUUAGUGGCCUCAUUCCAAGGAGUUUAAAGACAUGUACGAGUUUGGUUAAAAUUGACCUUCAAUCGAACAAACUAACAGGAGAUAUAUCUCAGCAUUUUGGUGUGUAUCCAGAACUCAUAGGGAUGAGCUUGUCAUCAAAUAGACUCACUGGCAGAUCUCGCCAAAUCUUGGUGCAAGUACUCAACUAACGAUACUAUAUUUAGCACACAAUAUGAUCACGGGUUCCAUACCUCCAAUCAUUUCUAAAUUUUCAAACCUAGUAGCACUAAGACUUGAUUCUAAUCAUCUCAGCGGCGAGAUCCCACCAGAAAUCUGCAGUUUAGCAAAUCUCUAUAACAUGAACUUAUCAUCAAACCAAUUAUCUGGAUCCAUACCUAAACAGAUAGAAAAGCUUCGCAAUCUAGGAUAUCUUGAUAUAUCUGGGAACAGACUGAAUGGAUUGAUACCUGAGGAACUAGGGGCCUUCACGAAACUACAGUACCUAAAGAUCAACAACAAUAGCUUCAGUGGGAGUUUGCCUGGUGCGAUUGGAAAUUUAGCAGCCUUGCAGAUCAUGUUAGAUGUGAGCAACAAUAACCUCAGUGGUGUGUUGCCGCGGAAUUCGGGAAUUUGGGGAUGCUAGAAUUUCUGAAUUUAUCGCAUAAUCAAUUCAGUGGCAACAUUCCAUCCUCCUUUGGAAGCAUGGUGAGCCUUUCAACAUUUGAUGUGUCCUACAAUGACUUGGAAGGACCAGUCCCAACAACAUGGCUACUCCACAAUGCUUCAGCAAGCUGGUUUCUUCCCAAUAAAGGUAUGUGCGGUAACCUCUCUGGCCUGCCACCUUGUUAUUCAUCUCCAGUAGUUGGUCACCAUAAAGGGAAGAUACUUGGUUUGCUUUUGCCGAUUGUUCUUGUGGUGGGUUUCAGUAUUAUUGCUGCAAUUGCUGUUGUAAUAAUGCUUAGUCGUAACAAGACAAAACCACAAGAAGGUGUUAUUGCUGAAGCAAGGGACCUGUUCUCUGUUUUGAACUUUGAUGGAAGAUUGGCAUUUGACGAUAUUUUAAGGGCAACAGAAGGCUUCGAUGAUAAGUACAUCACUGGAACAGGAGGAUACGGCAAAGUCUACAAGGCACAACUCCAAGAUGGGGAGCUGGUUGCUGUGAAGAAGCUUCAUCAGACCGAAGAGUUGGAUGAUGAAAGAAGAUUUCGUAGUGAAAUGGAAAUCUUAACACAGAUCCGACAACGAAGCAUUGUCAAAAUGUAUGGAUUCUGCUCCCAUCCAGUGUAUAAGUUUCUAGUCUACGACUACAUUCAGCAGGGAAGCCUCCACGGAAUAUUGGAAAAUCAGGAGCUAGCAAAGGAAUUAGAUUGGAAGAAGAGAAUUGCUCUUGCAACUGAUGUGGCUCAAGCAAUAUCUUAUUUGCACCACGAAUGCAGUCCACCUAUAAUCCAUCGAGAUAUCACAAGCAACAACAUCUUACUUGAUACAUCCUUCAAGGGUUUUGUCUCGGAUUUUGGCACGGCAAGGAUUCUUAAACCCGAUUCAUCAAACUGGAGUGCACUAGCAGGAACAUAUGGCUACAUAGCUCCUGAACUGUCGUACACAUCUGCUGUGACAGAGAAAUGUGAUGUCUAUAGCUUUGGCGUGGUGGUGCUAGAGCUAGUGAUAGGGAAGCAUCCAAGGGAUCUAUUAGACGGUAGUUUGUCAAGCGGGGAACAAGCUAUACUUGUGAAAGAUAUUCUGGACCAACGGCCGACAACACCAACAACAACAGAAGAGAAGAGCUUAGCUCUGCUCAUCAAGCUGGCCUUCUCUUGCUUGGAAUCUUCUCCACAAGCAAGGCCAACCAUGCGGGCGGCAUACCAAACGCUCAUCCAGCAACCUUGUUCUAGUUCAAGUCCCGUGCCUUUCAGCGCACUUACAUUACAGCAAGGGAUGCAUGUUGAUGUAUGAUCCGAAUUCUAGUGAGAAGCCAGGGUCUAUCUUGGCGGAGGUCGAUAAAAUGUUUCCACUUUUGACACUCAUAUUCCACCUAUAUAUACCCCAUGUAUACCAACAUGGGAUGAGUUGUACACUCACGUCAUACAGUGAAAUAUAACCGUCGUGUGCCUAUGGUUUUCCCCGCAAGGGUUUUCCACGUAAAAAUUGGUGUCAUGUGUUCUUGAUAUUUCUCUUUUUGUUCGCUUGCCAAUUUCUAAGAAUGCAUAAGUAUAAUUUUAUUGUGGGUUGCU
Molecule: ribosomal RNA, 3690 nt
Filed under: Triticum aestivum (bread wheat)
Lineage: Eukaryota; Viridiplantae; Streptophyta; Magnoliopsida; Poales; Poaceae
Description: partial small subunit ribosomal RNA
Source: RNAcentral